RNAcentral lists this long non-coding RNA (386 nucleotides) under Nicotiana benthamiana. RNAcentral's name for it is "long non-coding RNA (NBEN_LNC007587)". The record is from RNAcentral. Lineage: Eukaryota; Viridiplantae; Streptophyta; Magnoliopsida; Solanales; Solanaceae.
UGUACUCAAACCAUCUUCAGCCUACAUGUUUCAACAAUCCCUUGCUAUUCAGGGUAAAAAAAAUACCUGGAAAUUGAGAAAAUAAGAAGUAGAAGUGAGACAACAAUAAACAACAGUAGCCCAGAAUCAACACCAGGUAGUAGAAUACCAAAUACAAAUUUAAACCAACUAAUGAAAUAGUAUUUUCAAUAAACCAGAACUUCACACCAACUUUCCCAAAACCCAAAAUCAAACCAUUAGGCUAAGAUUUGAAUGAUGUGAAACUUUAAAUGAUUUUAAAACUGGGGGAAAGGGUCAGAAAAACUCCAGCUGAUGCAGUAUUUGAUCAAUUAUUAUCAAAGAAAGGACAAGAAAUCACUGUACUCUAUGAAAAUUCACCCGUUUAG